This 394-nucleotide ribosomal RNA is filed under the name uncultured bacterium. Its description in RNAcentral is "bacterial SSU rRNA". It matches the Rfam family "Bacterial small subunit ribosomal RNA", at positions 361 to 772 of the family's 1533-position model. The record is from RNAcentral.
AUUUUCGGCAAUGGGGGGAACCCUGACCGAGCAACGCCGCGUGAGUGAAGAAGUAAUUCGUUAUGUAAAGCUCUAUCAGCAGGGACGAAAGUAACGGUACCUGCGUAAGAAGCCCCGUCUAACUACGUGCCAGCAGCCGCGGUAAUACGUAGGGGGCAAGCGUUAUCCGGAUUUACUGGGUGUAAAGGGAGUGUAGACGGCGAUGCAAGUCUGGAGUGAAAGCCCGGGGCUCAACCCCGGGACUGCUUUGGAAACUGUACGGCUGGAGUGCUGGAGAGGCAAGCGGAAUUCCUAGUGUAGCGGUGAAAUGCGUAGAUAUUAGGAGGAACACCAGUGGCGAAGGCGGCUUGCUGGACAGUAACUGACGUUGAGGCUCGAAAGCGUGGGGAGCAAA